RNAcentral lists this ribosomal RNA (949 nucleotides) under uncultured archaeon. RNAcentral describes it as "bacterial SSU rRNA". It matches the Rfam family "Archaeal small subunit ribosomal RNA", at positions 1 to 929 of the family's 1478-position model. The record is from RNAcentral.
UUCCGGUUGAUCCUGCCGGACCUGACUGCUAUCGGAGUAAGACUAAGCCAUGCAAGUCGACGCCCCUAGCCGCCGGUGGGGCGUGGCGCACCGCUCAGUAACACGUAGUCAACCUACCCCGUGGACGGGGACAAAGUCGGGAAACUGACUGUAAUCCCCGAUAGGAGAAGGGAUCUGGAACGCCCCUUCUCCCAAAGGCUUACGGAACCGUGCAUCCGUGGGCGCCGCGGGAUGGGACUGCGACCGAUCAGGUAGAUGGUGGGGUAACGGCCCACCAUGCCGAUAACCGGUACGGGCCCUGAGAGGGGGAGCCCGGAGAUGGACCCUGAGACAAUGGUCCAGGCCCUACGGGGCGCAGCAGGCGCGAAACCUCCGCUAUGUGCGAAAGCAUGACGGGGUUACUCCGAGUGCCGGGUGCUGAAUUCGGCUUUUCCCCGGUCCAAAAGGCCGGGGGAAUAAGGGGAGGGCAAGAUUGGUGUCAGCCGCCGCGGUAAAACCAACUCCCCGAGUGGUCGGGAUGAUUAUUGGGCUUAAAGCGUCCGUAGCCGGUUCGGUAAGUUCUCCGUUAAAUCUGACGUCCGAAGCGUCAGGCCGCGGGGAAUACUGCCGGACUUGGGAGUGGGAGAGGCCGACGGUACUCCCUGGGGAGGGGUAAAAUCCUUAGAGCCAGGGAAGACCAUCAGUGGCGAAGGCGGUCGGCUAGAACACGUCCGACGGUGAGGGACGAAAGCUGAGGGAGCGAUCCGGAUUAGAUACCCGGGUAGUCCCAGCCGUAAACGAUGCAGGCUAGGUGUGCGGUCGGCUACGAGCCGGCCGUGUGCCGUAGGGAAACCGUUAAGCCUGCCGCCUGGGAAGUACGGUCGCAAGGCUGAAACUUAAAGGAAUUGGCGGGGGGAGCACCCACAAGGGUGAAUCCUGCGUUUAAUUGGACUCAACGCCGGUAUCGUCG